AAAUUGAAGAGUUUGAUCAUGGCUCAGAUUGAACGCUGGCGGCAGGCCUAACACAUGCAAGUCGAACGGUAACAGGAAGAAGCUUGCUUCUUUGCUGACGAGUGGCGGACGGGUGAGUAAUGUCUGGGAAGCUGCCUGAUGGAGGGGGAUAACUACUGGAAACGGUAGCUAAUACCGCAUAACGUCGCAAGACCAAAGAGGGGGACCUUCGGGCCUCUUGCCAUCGGAUGUGCCCAGAUGGGAUUAGCUAGUAGGUGGGGUA
This 262-nucleotide ribosomal RNA is filed under the name Escherichia coli. RNAcentral's name for it is "partial 16S ribosomal RNA". It matches the Rfam family "Bacterial small subunit ribosomal RNA", at positions 1 to 259 of the family's 1533-position model. The record is from RNAcentral. Lineage: Bacteria; Pseudomonadati; Pseudomonadota; Gammaproteobacteria; Enterobacterales; Enterobacteriaceae.